UACGAAGGGUGCAAGCGUUACUCGGAAUUACUGGGCGUAAAGCGUGCGUAGGCGGUGAGUUAAGUCUGAUGUGAAAUCCCCGGGCUCAACCUGGGAAUGGCAUUGGAUACUGGCUCGCUAGAGUGCGGUAGAGGGUGGUGGAAUUCCUGGUGUAGCGGUGGAAUGCGCAGAUAUCAGGAGGAACACCAAUAGCGAAGGCAGCUCGCUGGGACGUUACUGACACUGAGGCGCGAAAGCGUGGGGAGCGAACAGG
Molecule: ribosomal RNA, 253 nt
Filed under: uncultured bacterium
Lineage: Bacteria
Description: partial 16S ribosomal RNA
Rfam family: Bacterial small subunit ribosomal RNA
Source: RNAcentral